ACUCCUGUACUGAUGACUGAUCCAUCUCUUUUGCAUUGGUAUCAAAAACCGAGUCACAAGGAACUGUAGAUACCGGAAUUGAUAAAUUGUCACGAGCCAUCUUUGAAUGAGUUGGGUACAUCAUCUGGUUUAAUUUCCACCAGCCUAGCACAUCAAACUCGUAGACUCGAGGCAACAGAGGCUCCGCCAAAUACUGAUGCAGCUCUGUCUUCAAAUUCUUCAUGAUGUAGACAUGAAAUUCUUGCGCAUAGUGUGGUGCCAGAGGCGGAGGCAUUGUAAAGUAUUACUGAAAUAGCUCGUGGAUUCGAUCAUCAACCAUCUUGAUACAUGUCGGAGCUUCUUCUUCCCUAUAAAUUCUGGUGAAACUGAACUCAAUAUACUUCAUCUUGUACCCCGAGCUCGGAUCCAUGACCACUGCUGUAGCCAAAGUCAGGCUACAAUUCUUCCCGUACCUAUUAAUUUUUUCUAGCAUUGUUCGAGCAAGGUUACUAACAAGGGGUUCCUCAUUGGUGAUACCUCCAGACAGAUGUCCCUCAAUCCUUGACACUUCAUGGAAGAAUAUAUUUGCAGUUAGGUUAGUUGUAGUAGCUAGGAUGUAUGCUGUAUCAAAAAUUGGCUUCAAAUGUGCGCAGAGUCUCACCUUGCUUCCAAUCUUCCAUUGAGGGGACUUGUUUGUUGAAUUCGGCAUCAUAUGUAUCCAAGCAAGAAAAAACUUGCUUCAACUCCGAAGCAGCCACCAACAUUUGAUAUGCGGUAUUCCACCGAGUUUGCUUAUCAACAAAUAUGGUCCUUUCACUUGGGACUUGAAGCUGUUUCUUAAGAACAAGAAACUUUUCAUCAUGGGACCAUGAAGUCGUCACGUACUUGAUGCUGUCCCGGAUUUUCUUCAAUAGUUGACCAUUGAAGGGAAGAUGAAGCUUUAAACUUUCAAAAAAGCAGCUUCACUCAUGAUUAGUGGCUGAUCAUGAUAAGUGAUAGAAAAUAACUUGCUCUCCAGAAUCCAAUUAUGAAGGCAAACCUUAACAGCAUGGCUAACAGACACAUACCCCACCCCUUGAGAGGAAGUCCACACGUCCAAGAAAGGCAGACGCGUGCAGCUAUGCCCUGAAUAAACUUUUGAGCCUUUACUAUAUGCAUAGCUUCGCUUGCAUUGGUUGCAGUAUGCCCUUCUACACCCAGCACUCACAGUUUCUAUGGUGAAGUGCUCCCAAACCAUGGACUUCCUUUUCUUCCGCUUGCUAGGUUUUGUUUCAUGAUUUGUCUCCUCAUUGUUUGGAUAGGAGUCUGCCCCACUCAAUGUAUUGCUUAGUGUUGCUACUUUCAAAUACCCAGAUAAGAACAUUGAUAAAAAAUCUCAACAUUAUCAAGUGCAGUGAUGAAUACCGAGAUCGCCCUUCCCGGUUGCAAAGCAGAUGAACCAAAGGCGUCUUCUGGAAUAUAUUAUUGCAGGUUUUGUGAUAAAAAAAGGGCAAUCAUAUCACUGCAGCGUGCCCCUGGGACCCCGAUAAUGACUGUAAUUCCGAUGAUGACAUUGACCCGGAUAUUUUAGAAUAUAGUGGGGAAAGGGAGGGAUAUUCAUGGUCUUGUUUGUUGGGAUGUGGUGGUAUAUAUCUCUUGUACAUUCGAUCAUGGUUUCACCAGAGGACUAUAUGUUGAAAAGCUUUGCAACACCAAAAUAAGUUUGGUCACUGGACUUAUGAGUGCUCAAUUAAACCAACAUAUGAUAUUAUGAUGUGGGCAAGAGUAACAGAAGUGCUUGAUGAGAUGAAGGAAUAAUGAGAAACUUAUAGUUAAAUUUAUAGUCUUUGAAAUUUUAGAUGUGAAGCAGCUCAACACAGAGCCUCUACGUUGUACCCAUUUAGACCUUUCAACUCUUCCUUGCUGAAGAGAACAAAAUGUAGAAGAGGCUUCUCAUAUAAAGCUAGCUCUACAAGUACAAGAAGCAGAGCAAAACAGACUCAGUGAGUAUUGAAAUGAAAGAGGAGCAGAAGGAACAUAUAGAUAGAGACAAUCAUCACCUGCUGCUUCUGAAUGUGUUUUUAGGGUUUGAAAUGAGAGGUAUGGUGAAGAAGGAACGUGAAGAAGUUGCAUAUUUUUGAGAGGGAAACGAUGUGGGAGAAAGGGAGGUGACAAAGAAGCAGGAAGUGAUCAGUGGCCUCUGUCAAGUGUCAAGUGUGAACCUCAUGUUAUUAGUUUUAUUGCGUCAUGCCAAGUCUCUAUAUUGUAAUCUCCAAUCAGAUUUCAGAACCCAAUCCCCUUGGGGUCAAAACGACCCGUCGUGUAUUCAUGAACAAUGUUUCCAAUCAAUCAUAUUUACAGUAUUAUCAGGUACUCUUCUUUGAAUUUAUGAAGGCAAUGAUAACAGUGAAUAUGAAAAUCUCUCCAAUGAUAACAGUGAAUAACUAGGAUAACAUCGGGAAUGACAAAUGCGUCAUACGGUCACAAACCUUGCCUCCAAAGGCCUUCUUCCCAGGACAAAUCAGAGUCUUCUCAAUCAGUGACCGGAGUCUUAUAGCCGGAAGAAAUCUUGUCCGUGAUAUAAUUAAAUCGCUUGUGACAAUGACUAAGGAAAAAUGCCUGUACAAAGACGGCAAAAUUAAUCAGAGUUUCAGGAGAAAUAUAAAAGCAAUUUGAAGCAAAUAGUAAGUCACAUCAGCAAGCCUCGCCCUUAUUUAAUGCCACAGCUUACAGCAGAAUCCGUUGCGUUUCCUCUUGCGGGAUAUGUUAUCUCAAAAGGAGUCAACUAACUGUCCUGCCAAGCUACUUGGAUCAUCAAUCAUAGUUUGAAGAAAGGUGUUUCACCACCCUACGUUCCAGAUCAGUUGAUCUCAAACUGAACCAUGUUAGCAACUUCAAUCUGAAUUCCUCUGUAAGGUGACCCUCGCAUUCCAGCCUCCUGAUUAUUUUCACACAGUGCUCAAAGUUCUCAUCCAAGCAACAAGAACCAUUUUGCAAUGGUGGCCCAUUUAUCAGGGUGCUGUCACAAUCAUGGGUCUCUUUAUUUGUGUUUCCUUUCCUCUUCCUGCAAAUUUCUGCCCGGUAAUCACAGCAGGGACAUCCCCAGUAAUCCCACGAGUCCAGGUCUGUGAAUCACCACUACCACGUGAUCUUGCUAGGCCAUUCUUCACCAUGUCAUGAGACACAGCAUCAUCAUCUGCCUCCACAGCCUGCUGCAAACUGCAUCCAUUAUCUUCAUCUCUGGAGGACUCAGAGGGCGGGGUUAGCUCUUCAUUCAGAUCGGGCAUUGAAAGCACAUUUAAGUGAAACCCACGUGAAACAGAAGGCAACUCUUCUUGUAGAAUUUCGUUUCAGUUUUUAUCGGGUUGCUGGGUCCACAACAUUUGUCUCUGUUGGCACUACAAAAGCCCUCUUAGGAGCCUCUCUGUUGAGCCUGAGCCAGACGAAGUAUCUUCCCAAGAUCACAAACUUUAAAUUUGGAAGAAGGCACAACUGCUGUCGUAGUUUCAGACUCCCUCGUGGCACCAGAAUUUGCCUCAAUGACGGGGAUUCAAAAGAGAUUCCUGCAGACCGGUGAAUCCGGGAUUUUGUGAAUUAUCUCAACACUCUUGGUGAAACACUGCCUCAGAGUGACCCAAAUCACCAGCCUCAGUAUCAGAUAUUAUCCUAAAUGUAUACUCUGUGCAAGGCUGCAAAU
Rosa rugosa (rugosa rose) is the source of this 3655-nucleotide long non-coding RNA. RefSeq lists it as uncharacterized. NCBI's taxonomy places the organism in Eukaryota, Viridiplantae, Streptophyta, Magnoliopsida, Rosales, Rosaceae. The transcript has 2 exons. The record is from RefSeq and is a predicted model, not a curated record.